GGCCUAACACAUGCAAGUCGAACGGCAGCACGGGGCAACCUGGUGGCGAGUGGCGAACGGGUGAGUAAUAUAUCGGAAUGUACCCUAGAGUGGGGGAUAACGUAGCGAAAGUUACGCUAAUACCGCAUACGAUCUACGGAUGAAAGUGGGGGAUCGCAAGACCUCAUGCUCAUGGAGCAGCCGAUAUCUGAUUAGCUAGUUGGUAGGGUAAAAGCCUACCAAGGCGACGAUCAGUAGCUGGUUUGAGAGAACGACCAGCCACACUGGAACUGAGACACGGUCCAGACUCCUACGGGAGGCAGCAGUGGGGAAUUUUGGACAAUGGGGGCAACCCUGAUCCAGCAAUGCCGCGUGAGUGAAGAAGGCCUUCGGGUUGUAAAGCUCUUUUGUCAGGGAAGAAACGGUGGCCUCUAAUACAGGUUACUAAUGACGGUACCUGAAGAAUAAGCACCGGCUAACUACGUGCCAGCAGCCGCGGUAAUACGUAGGGUGCAAGCGUUAAUCGGAAUUACUGGGCGUAAAGCGUGCGCAGGCGGUUAUAUAAGUCAGAUGUGAAAUCCCCGGGCUCAACCUGGGAACUGCAUUUGAGACUGUAUGGCUAGAGUGUGUCAGAGGGGGGUAGAAUUCCACGUGUAGCAGUGAAAUGCGUAGAUAUGUGGAGGAAUACCGAUGGCGAAGGCAGCCCCCUGGGAUAACACUGACGCUCAUGCACGAAAGCGUGGGGAGCAAACAGGAUUAGAUACCCUGGUAGUCCACGCCCUAAACGAUGUCUACUAGUUGUUGGGUCUUAAUUGACUUAGUAACGCAGCUAACGCGUGGAGUAGACCGCCUGGGGAGUACGGU
This 843-nucleotide ribosomal RNA is filed under the name uncultured Oxalobacteraceae bacterium. RNAcentral describes it as "bacterial SSU rRNA". It matches the Rfam family "Bacterial small subunit ribosomal RNA", at positions 45 to 886 of the family's 1533-position model. Lineage: Bacteria; Pseudomonadati; Pseudomonadota; Betaproteobacteria; Burkholderiales; Oxalobacteraceae. The record is from RNAcentral.